Regulatory RNA element from Clostridium sp. CAG:43, 173 nucleotides. It matches the Rfam family "Lysine riboswitch aptamer". From Rfam's summary of the family: Riboswitches are metabolite binding domains within certain messenger RNAs that serve as precision sensors for their corresponding targets. Allosteric rearrangement of mRNA structure is mediated by ligand binding, and this results in modulation of gene expression. NCBI's taxonomy places the organism in Bacteria, Bacillati, Bacillota, Clostridia, Eubacteriales, Clostridiaceae. The record is from Rfam.
AAAACAAGUAGAGGUUGCGUUGAUUAUCAGUAAGCGGUCGGAUGCGGCAGGUGCAGGAGAAGACAGCUGAAAGGAUGAUACGCCGAAGGGCUGCGGCGCCUGUAUCUGCAGUUCCUGGGUGCAGGAUGAAGAAUUCUGUAACUGUCAUCGACAGAUGGGGAGCUACUGGGAGU